Molecule: unclassified non-coding RNA, 327 nt
Filed under: soil metagenome
Description: partial contains 5.8S ribosomal RNA, internal transcribed spacer 2, and large subunit ribosomal RNA
Rfam family: 5.8S ribosomal RNA (bases 1-120)
Source: RNAcentral
GAUGAAGAACGUAGCGAAAUGCGAUAAGUAAUGUGAAUUGCAGAAUUCAGUGAAUCAUCGAAUCUUUGAACGCACAUUGCGCCCCUUGGUAUUCCGGGGGGCAUGCCUGUUCGAGCGUCAUUAUAACCCCUCAAGCUCAGCUUGGUGUUGGGGCCUGCCGACUGGCAGCCCUUAAAAUCAGUGGCGGCGCCAUCUGGCUCUAAGCGUAGUAAUUUCUCUCGCUAUAGAGUCCCGGUGGAUGCUUGCCAGCAACCCCCAACUUUCUAUGGUUGACCUCGGAUCAGGUAUGGAUACCCGCUGAACUUAAGCAUAUCAAUAAGCGGAGGA